This 254-nucleotide ribosomal RNA is filed under the name uncultured bacterium. RNAcentral's name for it is "partial 16S ribosomal RNA". It matches the Rfam family "Bacterial small subunit ribosomal RNA", at positions 524 to 776 of the family's 1533-position model. The record is from RNAcentral.
UACAGAGACUGCGAGCGUUGUUCGGAUUUACUGGGCGUAAAGGGCGCGUAGGCGGCAAUUCAAGUCAUCUGUGAAAUCUCCGGGCUUAACUCGGAACGGUCAGAUGAUACUGCUUUGCUAGAGUGCGGAAGGGGCAAUCGGAAUUCUCGGUGUAGCGGUGAAAUGCGUAGAUAUCGAGAGGAACACCUGAGGUGAAGACGGGUUGCUGGGCCGACACUGACGCUGACAGCGCGAAAGCCAGGGGAGCAAACGGG